CUUUUGAAACUGUCGCAC
This 18-nucleotide ribosomal RNA is filed under the name Acinetobacter baumannii UH9007. The record is from RNAcentral. Lineage: Bacteria; Pseudomonadati; Pseudomonadota; Gammaproteobacteria; Moraxellales; Moraxellaceae.